GCAGAAGCUUCAACUCGCGCUGCCACAGAGGCCGUGACCCAAUAUAUCGCCACGAUGGGAGCAAAUGCUCCCAACGCGAUACCAGCACCUGCUCCACAUGUGGAGUCACCUAUGGCACCACCGCCAUCGACUCCCUGGGGGCUUACAUCUGCCCCCAAAAUAUUUCGGUCGCCAAGGGUUAUCGACUCCCUGGGGGCUUACAUCUGCCCCCAAAAUAUUUCGCUCGCCAAGGGUUAUCGACUCCCUGGGGGCUUACAUCUGCCCCCAAAAUAUUUCGCUCGCCAAGGGUUAUCGACUCCCUGGG
RNAcentral lists this long non-coding RNA (304 nucleotides) under Erythranthe guttata (spotted monkey flower). Its description in RNAcentral is "long non-coding RNA (EGUT_LNC001922)". Lineage: Eukaryota; Viridiplantae; Streptophyta; Magnoliopsida; Lamiales; Phrymaceae. The record is from RNAcentral.